CUUAACACAUGCAGUCGAGCGAUGAAGUUUCUUCGGAAAUGGAUUAGCGGCGAACGGGUGAGGAACACGUGAAGAAUCUGCCCUCCACUUUGGGAUAACACAGGGAAACCUGUGCUAAUGCCGAAUAUUGAAACAUAAGUGGCAUCACUGAGUUUUGAAAGAAUUUCGGUGGAGGAUGACUUCGCGGCCUAUCAGCUAGUUGGUGAGGUAAUGGCUCACCAAGGCAACGACGGGUAGCCGGCCUGAGAGGGCGACCGGCCACACUGGGACUGAGACACGGCCCAGACUCCUACGGGAGGCAGCAGUGGGGAAUAUUGGGCAAUGGAGGAAACUCUGACCCAGCGACGCCGCGUGCGGGAUGAAGGCCUUCGGGUUGUAAACCGCUUUCAGUAGGGAAGAAGCGAAAGUGACGGUACCUACAAAAGAAGCACCGGCUAACUAUGUGCCAGCAGCCGCGGUAAUACAUAGGGUGCAAGCGUUGUCCGGAAUUAUUGGGCGUAAAGAGCUCGUAGGUCGUUUGUUACGUCGGAUGUGAAAACCUGAGGCUCAACCUCAGGCCUGCAUUCGAUACGGGCAAACUAGAGUUUGGUAGGGGAGACUGGAAUUCCUGGUGUAGCGGUGGAAUGCGCAGAUAUCAGGAGGAACACCAAUGGCGAAGGCAGGUCUCUGGGCCAAUACUGACACUGAGGAGCGAAAGUCUGGGGAGCGAACAGGAUUAGAUACCCUGGUAGUCCAGACCGUAAACGGUGGGCACUAGUUGUGGGGACCUUCCACGGUUUCUGCGACGCAGCUAACGCAUUAAGUGCCCCGCCUGGGGAGUACGAUCGCAAGAUUAAAACUCAAAGGAAUUGACGGGGCCCCGCACAAGCAGCGGAGCAUGCGGCUUAAUUCGACGCAACGCGAAGAACCUUACCAAGGCUUGACAUAUAGGGAAAAAGUGGAGAGAUGUCAUGUCCGCAAGGCCCUAUACAGGUGGUGCAUGGUUGUCGUCAGCUCGUGUCGUGAGAUGUUGGGUUAAGU
Molecule: ribosomal RNA, 1020 nt
Filed under: uncultured bacterium
Lineage: Bacteria
Description: bacterial SSU rRNA
Rfam family: Bacterial small subunit ribosomal RNA
Source: RNAcentral